GAUGAAGAACGCAGCGAAAUGCGAUAGGUAGUGUGAAUUGCAGAUGUAACGUGAAUCAUCGAAUCUUUGAACGCAAAUUGCAUUCCCUGGUAUUCCGGGGAGUAUGCCUGUUUGAGGGUCGCCAAAUACACAUCGAUUAACAUUGCUUUUGAAGUAAAUGUUUUAUCGGAUUUGAGCUUUCUUUAUUCUUACGAAUAAAGUGGCUUAAAAUUUAUUUUUUUUUGUAUCAAGCGUAUUUUAUAAUCAAUUUUUUAUUAAAAAAGAACGUUUCGAAUGCCAUCCUUCAAUGUAAUACGUUUGACUAUAUGUAAUAAUAUAUAGUUCAUUCGCAUACGAUUCAUAAAUUUUUUUUUUGACCUCAAAUCAGGUAAGAGUACCCGCUGAACUUAAGCAUAUCAAUAAGCGGAGGA
RNAcentral lists this unclassified non-coding RNA (410 nucleotides) under soil metagenome. RNAcentral describes it as "partial contains 5.8S ribosomal RNA, internal transcribed spacer 2, and large subunit ribosomal RNA". The stretch from base 1 to 121 matches the Rfam family "5.8S ribosomal RNA", at positions 35 to 154 of the family's 154-position model. The record is from RNAcentral.